CUUAACUAUCUUGAGUAAUUUUGUAUCAUCUGCAAGUUUUACCAUCUCAUUGUUUACCUCUUUUUCAGACCUUUUAUAAGUAUGUUGAACAAUACUGGUCCCAGUACAGAUUCUUGAAGGACAUCACGAUUUACCUCUCUUCUUUCUGAAAACUGACCAUUUAUUCUUACACUUUGUGUCCUGUCUUUUAAGCAGUAGCAAUUAGAAGUCCCAGCUGAGACUGGGUCCCCAGUGUGCUGGGCUUUGCGCACACAUCAUAGGAGACAGUCUGCGCUGAAGAAUUUACAGUCUAAACAGGCAUGACAGAGAAAGGGUGAGAGAGGAAACAGAGGCACAGAGACUUGCCCAAAUUCUUGCACAGCUCAGUAGCAAAGGCAAGACUAGAACCCUGUCCCUUGACACUCAGUUGCACUAUCCAUCAGGCAACCCUGCCUCUCACUUAUUGCUAGUCUAGCAUUGGAUGUGCACCUGCUUCACAUUCUCCAGUGAUGGUGGGUGAGCUGCUCCAUAAUCCUGCCAGCUCCUGAGCAGGGACAAGGGACUGGCUCUCCCAUUUAUGAACACAGACAGUGCCUCUCACCACAGACACUUCACGGCAGGUAUGAAGUGUUGAAUAAGAACCAUUGGAAGGAGCUGUGCACAGUUUAACUGAUGGGCAGGGAGGCUAAACUCUUCCACUAUUUUCACUUGCAAAGGUCUGACCAAAGUCCAGCACCUAUGCUUUGCUUUCCAUCCCAGGGCUAUGAACAGUGUGUGCCAGAGGUUACCAGUAACCAAACAGGUUUUCCAAAGCAGGGAACAUUUAUGGACAAAAGCCCGAGAGAGAAAAGUUACCACAAACCAAUCAAACAUCUGAACAUGUUACACUUAUCGCAAAGGAUUCUCAUCUGGCACAUGGGGACAGACUCUCUGUCAAACCUUUCUCUAAGGGUUUCUCUCAGUUUGUAGCCCAAGAUCCCAGGCCCCUGGUUAGUUUAAAUCAGCUUUUCAUACCAAAAAUCUUCAUUCUCUUUGGUUUCUGGAAACUAGUUUAACCACCUAGGGGUGGUACUUCUCUGGAGCUGUUAUCUGUCCCAAAAGAAAUUACACCCCAUCAUUUGUAUAUCCUGCAGGAGAUGGGGAACCCUCCCCCAUGGAGCAGAUUACAAUCCGGAGCCCACAAAGAUAAAUAUAUAACAGAUCGAUACUGUGAAGUUGCACUCCAUAUGCUUUAUGAAAAUAGGUUUAUGAAUCUGAAAAUGACACAGCUGGAACGUGCUUUAUGCAAAAGGUCUCUUGUAACAUAUCAUUGAAAAAGUUAUAAUGUGCUGAAUUUGAUUUUCCUAUUUGUAUGCAUGUAUCAUACUUAUAGAAAUAUAAGAUAUGAACUU
Molecule: long non-coding RNA, 1370 nt
Organism: Dermochelys coriacea (leatherback sea turtle)
Lineage: Eukaryota; Metazoa; Chordata; Testudines; Dermochelyidae
Exons: 3
Source: RefSeq, a predicted model, not a curated record